Molecule: ribosomal RNA, 492 nt
Filed under: uncultured bacterium
Lineage: Bacteria
Description: partial 16S ribosomal RNA
Rfam family: Bacterial small subunit ribosomal RNA
Source: RNAcentral
AGUGAACGCUGGCGGUAGGCCUAACACAUGCAAGUCGAACGGCAGCACAGUAAGAGCUUGCUCUUACGGGUGGCGAGUGGCGGACGGGUGAGGAAUACAUCGGAAUCUACUUUUUCGUGGGGGAUAACGUAGGGAAACUUACGCUAAUACCGCAUACGACCUACGGGUGAAAGCAGGGGAUCUUCGGACCUUGCGCGAUUGAAUGAGCCGAUGUCGGAUUAGCUAGUUGGCGGGGUAAAGGCCCACCAAGGCGACGAUCCGUAGCUGGUCUGAGAGGAUGAUCAGCCAGACUGGAACUGAGACACGGUCCAGACUCCUACGGGAGGCAGCAGUGGGGAAUAUUGGACAAGGGGCGCAAGCCUGAUCCAGCCAUACCGCGUGGGUGAAGAAGGCCUUCGGGUUGUAAAGCACUUUUGUUGGGAAAGAAAAGCAGCAGGUUAAUACCCCGCUGUUCUGACGGUACCCAAAGAAUAAGCACCGGCUAACUUCGUG